RNAcentral lists this unclassified non-coding RNA (281 nucleotides) under Hevea brasiliensis (rubber tree). The record is from RNAcentral. Lineage: Eukaryota; Viridiplantae; Streptophyta; Magnoliopsida; Malpighiales; Euphorbiaceae.
UCAUGGUUGCUUGUGUACAAGCAAAAAGAGGACCUUCUUGUUAAGCCAAAGGCAGCAGCACCACCAGGCGAAUCUCCGCUGCUAUUAUGGAACCGUCUCCGUCGAGCACUUUCAACACCAGGUAACAUACCAGCCAUUGAUCGAGAAAACCACAAAACCUUUCUCUCUCUCUCUCUCUCCCUAUAGAGGCUGCCUGAAAUAUAAGGUCUUUAAGAAGCACAGACCAAUGAUAUGAAAGAAAAAUUGUAUUCUUCUUUAUAAAGAACUGCCAAGAAAUCACG